RNAcentral lists this transfer RNA (70 nucleotides) under Caldifarciminota bacterium. RNAcentral's name for it is "candidate division WOR-3 bacterium (hot springs metagenome) tRNA-Lys". It matches the Rfam family "tRNA". From Rfam's summary of the family: Transfer RNA (tRNA) molecules are approximately 80 nucleotides in length. Their secondary structure includes four short double-helical elements and three loops (D, anti-codon, and T loops). Lineage: Bacteria; Pseudomonadati; Caldifarciminota. The record is from RNAcentral.
CCGCUAGCUCAACAGGCAGAGCAUCGGAUUCUUAAUCCGAGGGUUCCAGGUUCAAGUCCUGGGCGGCGCA